This 1151-nucleotide long non-coding RNA is filed under the name Vulpes vulpes (red fox). RNAcentral's name for it is "lncRNA (ENSVVUG00000026492.1)". The record is from RNAcentral. Lineage: Eukaryota; Metazoa; Chordata; Mammalia; Carnivora; Canidae.
CUUGACCAGAGAUGGGAGCAGCGACUUCUAGACUGUGGAGGUCUAGGAGACAUCUGCAGCAGGAUCAGUCCUAGAUGGCUGCUGAUGCCUCAAACUGAAUCUCGGGUGUGACCUGUGAAGUCAAAGGUGGCUGGCAAUGACCACUGAGUCUACAUUCAGAGAGUCAAGGCACGGAGGUGCAGAGGAGUCAGUUAAGAAAACAAUGCUCUGCCCCCUUGGAAAGAGUAAGCUGCAUCCACCCAAGAGUGCACUAAUCGCUGCAGCUCAAGAGACUGUAAAUCCUCCCCAGCUGACUCCCCAGAGCUGGACAGAGCCAGCACCUGGGAAACUCGGCUGGAUGGGCCCUGGGCCAGUGCUGUUUCUGAUCGUCCAACAAUUCUGCAGAAUGGUGAGUGUGGGUUGGGCAGUCAGGCCUUGAGGUCUGGGUGGGUCACAUCCAGGCUAUCUUGAGCCAUCUCGGGCCAGUUACCCCUCUGCUUUGUGCUUCAGGGUCUGUAUAGGCAAAAUGGGGAUAAAGAUGAUCCCACUUCACAACUCAGGGUGCUCCCUGCACUGGAACAGGGGCAGAAGAGAAGCAGGAGGAGGAGGCAUGGAGCCCUUGCUGGCAGGGGCACCUUCUGUGGCACACUCCUUCACCCCUCUUGCCUCUGUUGCGGCACACAGCCAGAGUCUCCUGGGUCCUGCAGAAGGAGGAUUCCUGGGCCCACUCCUAAGGUCUCUGCUUUCUCCCUGCGGCCAGCGGAUCUUCAGACUCCAGGACCAACACUGAGGGCAGUAGUGAGCAGUCAGUGCCCGGCUCAAGGGCUCAGGAAAUGGUCUUUAUUAUUAUCCUCCUUUUACAGAUUGUGAGACCAAGGCUCAGGGAUGUGUUCAGUGAGUGACUGAACUAGAUUUGAACCCAAGACUGACAGGCUGUAAGGUCAGUGUGGAGGUGUGUGUUUAUAUUAGGCUAAAAGACACUGGCCCUGGGAUGCCUGGGUGGGUCAGUGGUUGAGCAUCUGCCUUUGGCUCAGGUUGUGAUCUCGGGUUCCUGGGAUCGAGUCCCAUGUUGGGCUCCCUGCGAGAGCCUACUUCUCCCUCUACCUAUGUCUCUGCCUCUCUCUCUGUCUCUCAUGAAUAAAUAAAUUAAAAAUCUUGGAAAAAAAUAAGAC